Molecule: ribosomal RNA, 509 nt
Filed under: uncultured bacterium
Lineage: Bacteria
Description: bacterial SSU rRNA
Rfam family: Bacterial small subunit ribosomal RNA
Source: RNAcentral
GACGAACGCUGGCGGCGUGGAUUAGGCAUGCAAGUCGAACGGUAUCAUCCUUUCGGGGGUGAGAGAGUGGCGAACUGGUGAGUAACACGUAGGUUAUCUACCCUCAAGACGGGGACAACCCAGGGAAACUUGGGCUAAUACCGGAUGUGAGCAACUUUUUAGUUGUUUGAAAGGUGGCGUAAGCUGUCGCUUGGGGAUGAGCCUGCGUCCUAUUAGUUAGUUGGUGAGGUAACGGCUCACCUAGGCAAUGAUAGGUAGGCGGCCUUAACGGGUGGUCGCCCACACUGGGAUUGAGAUACGGCCCAGACUCCUACGGGAGGCAGCAGUCGAGAAUAGUCUACAAUGGUCGGAAGACUGAUAGUGCGACGCCGCGUGAACGAUGAAUCCCUUCGGGGUGUAAAGUUCUUUUAUAUGUGAGCAGUGCUUCUUAUAUUAACAGUAUGGGGAGAGAGAUAUUAGCAUAUGAAUAAGCAACGGCUAACUCCGUGCCAGCAGCCGCGGUAAGCUCG